Molecule: unclassified non-coding RNA, 342 nt
Filed under: soil metagenome
Description: partial contains 5.8S ribosomal RNA, internal transcribed spacer 2, and large subunit ribosomal RNA
Rfam family: 5.8S ribosomal RNA (bases 1-120)
Source: RNAcentral
GAUGAAGAACGUAGCGAAAUGCGAUAAGUAAUGUGAAUUGCAGAAUUCAGUGAAUCAUCGAAUCUUUGAACGCACAUUGCGCCCGCCAGCAUUCUGGCGGGCAUGCCUGUUCGAGCGUCAUUUCAACCCUCGAGCCCCCCCGGGGGCCUCGGUGUUGGGGGACGGCACACCAGCCGCCCCGAAAUGCAGUGGCGACCCCGCCGCAGCCUCCCCUGCGUAGUAGCACACACCUCGCACCGGAGCGCGGAGGCGGUCACGCCGUAAAACGCCCCACUUUCUUAGAGUUGACCUCGGAUCAGGUAGGAAUACCCGCUGAACUUAAGCAUAUCAAUAAGCGGAGGA